Molecule: ribosomal RNA, 433 nt
Filed under: uncultured bacterium
Lineage: Bacteria
Description: partial 16S ribosomal RNA
Rfam family: Bacterial small subunit ribosomal RNA
Source: RNAcentral
AACGAACGCUGGCGGCAUGCCUAACACAUGCAAGUCGAACGAGAACUUCGGGUCUAGUGGCGCACGGGUGCGUAACGCGUGGGAACCUGCCCUUAGGUUCGGAAUAACUCCCCGAAAGGGGUGCUAAUACCGGAUAAUGUCUUCGGACCAAAGAUUUAUCGCCUUUGGAUGGGCCGGCGUUGGAUUAGCUAGUUGGUAGGGUAAAAGCCUACUAAGGCGACGAUUCAUAGCUGGUCUGAGAGGAUGAUCAGCCACACUGGGACUGAGACACGGCCCAGACUCCUACGGGAGGCAGCAGUGGGGAAUAUUGGACAAUGGGCUAAGGCCUGAUCCAGCAAUGCCGCGUGAGUGAUGAAGGCCUUAGGGUUGUAAAGCUCUUUUACCCGGGAUGAUAAUGACAGUACCGGGAGAAUAAGCUCCGGCUAACUCCGUG